Molecule: non-coding RNA, 48 nt
Organism: Schistosoma curassoni
Lineage: Eukaryota; Metazoa; Platyhelminthes; Trematoda; Strigeidida; Schistosomatidae
Source: Rfam
AUCCAGCUGAAGAGUUCCAAACAGGACGAAACGCGGGUCAUACUGGAU